RNAcentral lists this ribosomal RNA (253 nucleotides) under uncultured bacterium. RNAcentral's name for it is "partial 16S ribosomal RNA". It matches the Rfam family "Bacterial small subunit ribosomal RNA", at positions 524 to 776 of the family's 1533-position model. The record is from RNAcentral.
UACGAAGGGGGCUAGCGUUGUUCGGAAUUACUGGGCGUAAAGCGCACGUAGGCGGAUAUUUAAGUCAGGGGUGAAAUCCCAGAGCUCAACUCUGGAACUGCCUUUGAUACUGGCAAGCUCGAGUCCGGAAGAGGUAAGUGGAACUCCUAGUGUAGAGGUGGAAUUCGUAGAUAUUAGGAAGAACACCAGUGGCGAAGGCGGCUUACUGGUCCGGAACUGACGCUGAGGUGCGAAAGCGUGGGGAGCAAACAGG